CGGGUAGAGUAAUGCGUGACCAACCUGCCCCAUGCUCCAGAAUAGCUCUUGGAAACGGGUGGUAAUGCUGGAUGCUCCAACUUGACGCAUGUCUUGUUGGGAAAGUGUUUAGUGGCAUGGGAUGGGGUCGCGUCCUAUCAGCUUGUAGGCGGGGUAAUGGCCCACCUAGGCUUCGACGGGUAGCCGGCCUGAGAGGGCGGACGGCCACAUUGGGCUGAGAUACGGCCCAGACUCCUACGGGAGGCAGCAGC
RNAcentral lists this ribosomal RNA (251 nucleotides) under uncultured Gardnerella sp. RNAcentral's name for it is "partial 16S ribosomal RNA". It matches the Rfam family "Bacterial small subunit ribosomal RNA", at positions 100 to 355 of the family's 1533-position model. Lineage: Bacteria; Bacillati; Actinomycetota; Actinomycetes; Bifidobacteriales; Bifidobacteriaceae. The record is from RNAcentral.